UGCAGUCGAACGGCAGCACGGGGGCAACCCUGGUGGCGAGUGGCGAACGGGUGAGUAAUACAUCGGAACGUGUCCUGUAGUGGGGGAUAGCCCGGCGAAAGCCGGAUUAAUACCGCAUACGCUCUACGGAGGAAAGGGGGGGAUCUCAGGACCUCCCGCUACAGGGGCGGCCGAUGGCAGAUUAGCUAGUUGGUGGGGUAAAGGCCUACCAAGGCGACGAUCUGUAGCUGGUCUGAGAGGACGACCAGCCACACUGGGACUGAGACACGGCCCAGACUCCUACGGGAGGCAGCAGUGGGGAAUUUUGGACAAUGGGCGAAAGCCUGAUCCAGCAAUGCCGCGUGUGUGAAGAAGGCCUUCGGGUUGUAAAGCACUUUUGUCCGGAAAGAAAACCUCCGCCCUAAUAUGGUGGGGGGAUGACGGUACCGGAAGAAUAAGCACCGGCUAACUACGUGCCAGCAGCCGCGGUAAUACGUAGGGUGCAAGCGUUAAUCGGAAUUACUGGGCGUAAAGCGUGCGCAGGCGGUCCGCUAAGACAGAUGUGAAAUCCCCGGGCUUAACCUGGGAACUGCAUUUGUGACUGGCGGGCUAGAGUAUGGCAGAGGGGGGUAGAAUUCCACGUGUAGCAGUGAAAUGCGUAGAGAUGUGGAGGAAUACCGAUGGCGAAGGCAGCCCCCUGGGCCAAUACUGACGCUCAUGCACGAAAGCGUGGGGAGCAAACAGGAUUAGAUACCCUGGUAGUCCACGCCCUAAACGAUGUCAACUAGUUGUUGGGGAUUCAUUUCCUUAGUAACGUAGCUAACGCGUGAAGUUGACCGCCUGGGGAGUACGGUCGCAAGAUUAAAACUCAAAGGAAUUGACGGGGACCCGCACAAGCGGUGGAUGAUGUGGAUUAAUUCGAUGCAACGCGAAAAACCUUACCUACCCUUGACAUGUAUGGAACCC
Molecule: ribosomal RNA, 945 nt
Filed under: Paraburkholderia sediminicola
Lineage: Bacteria; Pseudomonadati; Pseudomonadota; Betaproteobacteria; Burkholderiales; Burkholderiaceae
Description: bacterial SSU rRNA
Rfam family: Bacterial small subunit ribosomal RNA
Source: RNAcentral